RNAcentral lists this ribosomal RNA (417 nucleotides) under uncultured bacterium. Its description in RNAcentral is "bacterial SSU rRNA". It matches the Rfam family "Bacterial small subunit ribosomal RNA", at positions 508 to 927 of the family's 1533-position model. The record is from RNAcentral.
CCAGCCGCCGCGGUAAUACGUAGGUGGCAAGCGUUGUCCGGAUUUAUUGGGUUUAAAGGGUGCGUAGGCGGUCUAUUAAGUCAGUGCUGAAAUAUCCCGGCUUAACCGGGAGGGUGGCAUUGAUACUGAUGGACUUGAGUGCAGUCGAGGUAGGCGGAAUUGACGGUGUAGCGGUGAAAUGCUUAGAUAUCGUCAAGAACACCGAUAGUGAAGACAGCUUACUAGACUGUAACUGACGCUGAGGCACGAAAGUGUGGGGAUCAAACAGGAUUAGAUACCCUGGUAGUCCACACCGUAAACGUUGAUUACUCGAUGUGUGCGAUAUACAGUACGCGUCUUAGCGCAAGCGAUAAGUAAUCCACCUGGGGAGUACGCCGGCAACGGUGAAACUCAAAGGAAUUGACGGGGGCCCGCACA